This 1506-nucleotide long non-coding RNA is filed under the name Betta splendens (Siamese fighting fish). RNAcentral's name for it is "lncRNA (ENSBSLG00000006489.1)". The record is from RNAcentral. Lineage: Eukaryota; Metazoa; Chordata; Actinopteri; Anabantiformes; Osphronemidae.
AUGUACAUUGUCAACAAUCGGCAUAUUGAGCUCUGUUUUGCCAUCAACCUGGCGCAUCUGCUCUAUCCAGGAAUCACAGACGCCGAGGCUGAAAGGAGGGGGAGCGAACUUCAGCAAAGGGCCGGUUUAAUCGCGCAGACGCCAGUGUGUUUCACGGACGUGGAGAAGUUUGAAGAGCUUGUUCAGUGUCGGAUUGUAAUCUUUUACAGAACAGAUUUGAAGCGCCUCAACACGUUUCACACUGCAAAGCAGCGGCCUGGUAAACCUUUAUACAUGUUUCUUUUCGAGAAUCAUUAUUACGGUCUAAAGAACGCCUGCGCUUUCAUAGGAACGAAAUAUUUGUGCAGUCAUUGCUACACCGGUUAUGAUGGGUUGCUGAAUCAUAAAUGCGAGGGGCGUUGUAACGUGUGUCUUGAUGCUGCGUGCACGGCCACGCGUCCCGCAGCCGGUGGGGGCGUAGUGUGUGAAUACUGCAACCGCUGGUGUGCCUCGGCCUUUUGUCUCGCAAAACACAGGGAGAAGGUGUGGCGCCCCGUGGCUCAGAAGCACGCUAGCAUUUGUGACAUGCACAAGAAAUGUCACCGCUGCGGCCUCUUGUAUUACGUCUCACUGAUUAAAAUACCAAAGCCGCACGAAUGUCCGGACGUUAAAUGCUGCAUCUGUGGCGGGGUCAAAUAUGCAGGGACGACCGAGCCUCACCGGUGCUACAUACAAAGUCUACCGACUCCUGAAACCACCACAGACGUUAUUCCAAAUAAGAAGUUGUUGUUCUAUGACUUUGAGACGUAUCCUGAUGAGAAUGGCACGCAUGUGCCCUUUUACGUCUGCGUCAUGAGGGGCAAUAAUAGCAGCCCGUGGGGUUGUUACGGGCCCGACUGCGCCGUAAAGCUUCUCAGGCGCUACAGGGCUAAAAAGUACAAAGAUUCCGUGUGUUUGGCUCACAAUUCGAAAGGUUUUGACGGGCAUAUUCUUUUGAGCGCCAUGGUGUCGCUGGGGAUUAGCCCUCACGUUGUAAUGCAGGGGUCUAAACUGGUAUUGUUCACAGAGCCUCAUUAUAAUCUCAAAUUUAUAGAUUCCAUGAGCUUUCUAUCUUUCCUUUGGGCCUCCCUGCCAAAAGCUCUGGGCUUUGAGGAUGCUGAAAAGGGUCACUUCCCUCACAAGUUCAGCUCUAAGGAGAAUCUGAAUUAUGUUGGCCCAUACCCAGCUCCUGAAUAUUACGGUUGUCAGCAAAUGACUCCAAAGAAACGCGAGGAUUUCAUGGCGUGGUACACCCUAGUCUCCGGCGGAACGUUUAAUUUUAAAGCAGAGGCAAAGCGCUACUGCCAAAAUGACAGAGAGAUUCUCAUGAAAGCGUGCUUUGCAUUUAGAGAGUGUUUUGUGAACGAGACGGCUCUAGACCCCUUCAAGCGAGCAACCAUCGCCUCCGCGUGUAUGUUUGUUUUCAGAACAUGUUUCCUUAAAGAAACAGCUGCAAGCGCUUCUCAAACGCCUGUGUGCAGUGGUUAG